CUGCUAUAAGAGGUCCAGCCUGCCCAGUGACAAAGUUAAACGGCCGCGGUACCCUAACCGUGCAAAGGUAGCGCAAUCACUUGUUCUUUAAAUGAGGACUAGUAUGAAUGGCAUCACGAGGGUUAUACUGUCUCCCCCAUCUAAUCAGUGAAACUGACCCUCCCGUGAAGAAGCGGGAAUAAAAAUAUAAGACGAGAAGACCCCAUGGAGCUUCAAACCCAACAUCAACUGCUUAAAUUUUACAACAUCCAAAUCCAACAGCCCUGAUGAUUGGUUUUCGGUUGGGGUGACCGCGGAGUAAAACGAAACCUCCGCGAUGAAAGGGACCCUUCCCUAAUCCAAGAGCUACAGCUCUAAGAAUCAAUAAAUUGACACACUUGACCCAAAUAUUUUUGAUCAACGAACCAAGUUACCCUGGGGAUAACAGCGCAAUCCAUUUCAAGAGCCCCUAUCGACAAAUGGGUUUACGACCUCGAUGUUGGAUCAGGGUAUCCAAGUGGCGCAGCCGCUACUAACGGUUCGUUUGUUCAACGAUUAAAACCCU
The sequence is a ribosomal RNA, 544 nucleotides long. It matches the Rfam family "Bacterial large subunit ribosomal RNA", at positions 1840 to 2597 of the family's 2925-position model.